UAUGUUACAGGCAUCGCUGGUGCAUAAU
This 28-nucleotide small RNA is filed under the name Bombyx mori (domestic silkworm). RNAcentral describes it as "ovarian small RNA-24054". Lineage: Eukaryota; Metazoa; Arthropoda; Insecta; Lepidoptera; Bombycidae. The record is from RNAcentral.